GGUCGCAUAGCUCAGUUGGGAGAGCAUCUGCCUUACAAGCAGAGGGUCAUAGGUUCGAGUCCUAUUGCGACCAC
RNAcentral lists this transfer RNA (74 nucleotides) under Fusobacterium necrophorum subsp. necrophorum. RNAcentral describes it as "tRNA-Val(tac)". It matches the Rfam family "tRNA". From Rfam's summary of the family: Transfer RNA (tRNA) molecules are approximately 80 nucleotides in length. Their secondary structure includes four short double-helical elements and three loops (D, anti-codon, and T loops). The record is from RNAcentral. Lineage: Bacteria; Fusobacteriati; Fusobacteriota; Fusobacteriia; Fusobacteriales; Fusobacteriaceae.